Tachyglossus aculeatus (Australian echidna) is the source of this 138-nucleotide small nucleolar RNA. NCBI's taxonomy places the organism in Eukaryota, Metazoa, Chordata, Mammalia, Monotremata, Tachyglossidae. The record is from RefSeq and is a predicted model, not a curated record.
CCCCUCUCAGGGUCGCACCUGGAGAGUUUCCAGUCCUCCACCAGUCCCGACUACAGAAGGGAGAGUCAAGCAGAGGCCUACCCAUUCCAGUCCUCGCUUGGCUAGUAGCUAGGGAGUGGAGGACAAUCUGCUACAAGU